CCUACGGGUGGCAGCAGUGGGGGAUAUUGGACAAUGGGCGCAAGCCUGAUGCAGCGACGCCGCGUGGGUGAAGGAGGCUCUCGGGGUGUAAACUUCUUUUAUCAGGGACGAAGCAGGUGGCGGUAGCUGAUGAAUCAGCCACGACUAACUACGUGCCAGCAGCCGCGGUAAUUCGUGGGGGGCAAGCGUUAUCCGGUUUUACUGGGUGUAAGGGGCGAGGAGGCGGGAAAGCAAGUCAGAUGUGAAAACCAUGGGCUCAACCUGUGGACUGCAUUUGAAACUGUUUUUCUGGAGUACUGGAGGGGCAGACGGAAUUCCUAGUGUAGCGGUGAAAUGCGUAGAUAUUAGGAGGAACACCAGUGGCGAAGGCGGUCUGCUGGACAGCAACUGACGCUGAGGCGCGAAAGCGUGGGGAGCAAACAGGAUUAGAUACCCGGGUAGUC
Molecule: ribosomal RNA, 443 nt
Filed under: uncultured bacterium
Lineage: Bacteria
Description: partial 16S ribosomal RNA
Rfam family: Bacterial small subunit ribosomal RNA
Source: RNAcentral